CCUACGGGAGGCAGCAGUGAGGAAUAUUGGUCAAUGGGCGUAAGCCUGAACCAGCCAAGUCGCGUGAGGGAUGAAGGUUCUAUGGAUCGUAAACCUCUUUUAUAAGGGAAUAAAGUGCGGGACGUGUCCCGUUUUGUAUGUACCUUAUGAAUAAGGAUCGGCUAACUCCGUGCCAGCAGCCGCGGUAAUACGGAGGAUCCGAGCGUUAUCGGGAUUUAUUGGGUUUAAAGGGUGCGUAGGCGGCCUUUUAAGUCAGCGGGGAAAGUCUGUGGCUAAACCAUAGAAUUGCCGUUGAAACUGGGAGGCUUGAGUAUGUUUGAGGCAGGCGGAAUGCGUGGUGUAGCGGUGAUAUGCUUAGAUAUCACGCAGAACCCCGAUUGCGAAGGCAGCCUGCCAAGCCAUGACUGACGCUGAUGCACGAAAGCGUGGGGAUCAAACAGGAUUAGAUACCCGAGUAGUC
Molecule: ribosomal RNA, 460 nt
Filed under: uncultured bacterium
Lineage: Bacteria
Description: partial 16S ribosomal RNA
Rfam family: Bacterial small subunit ribosomal RNA
Source: RNAcentral